Molecule: long non-coding RNA, 2405 nt
Organism: Myxocyprinus asiaticus (Chinese sucker)
Lineage: Eukaryota; Metazoa; Chordata; Actinopteri; Cypriniformes; Catostomidae
Exons: 3
Source: RefSeq, a predicted model, not a curated record
CUUCUUUUUCAUCCUUUCUUUGUCCUUAGACAGCCCUCUGGAAUAUUGCUUCCUUCAACUGUCCUGUAUGGACCAAAUCAUCUCAUAGGAAGUCUGAAGAAUAGAGAGCAGAGGAAGAGGAGAAAAGGAUGCAGAGAGCUAAGUGCCUGUUUUGUCUCCCUUCGAAGAAAGGAUUGUAAUUUUCCAUUGAUUCAUCUGAAGCUGGACAAUAGCUUCAGUGACGUGUACGGGCCAUUGAUACUGCAGGGAAAAUGAUCAGGGCCACACCUAGGAUUUACAGGGUGGGAGGACAUCACUUCAACGAGCUUUGCCUAUGGCAAAAUGGGAGCUUUGUUAGUUUCAGAUAUUCUAUUUGUUGAUAAAUGAAUGUGAGUUCAAAGGGAGGAAAAAACAGAGUUGUGGUAGAGAUUACUUUGCAACAAACUAGUAUAUCUGAUAUUCUAAUGCAUCAAUGACACUAAGAGACUGACUUCAUAUGACUGGCCGUGUUCCAAGACUUAUAUUUAAGAAGGAACUUUAAGAGGAUACUCUUUUACUCUUUCUGAAGAGGAUAUAAAUGUUUACAGCACUUCAGUCAGAAGUGUGAAGCUACAGUCAAAUUGAGUUGUGAGGUGACCUUGUAACCUCUAAACUUUCAGUAAUUCCAUGGCUUUCUUCAGUCUUGCACAGAUCCAUUUGUGGUCUGCGACUCACAUGCUAUACUUUGAUUCUUAAUUCCAUUUUCUUUUCUCAUCUUAAUGCAUCACUCUCCCUUUCCCCCAUUUUCUAUUCUUUCAAUUUUAAGCUUCUACUCCACCUAAUUGUCAGUACCUCCAGGCGAGGAAUUGAACAAAACAUUCCAAUGCUUUCUCACGCUCUCAUCUCUUUCCUUAUAGCUCACACAGCCAAGCACAAAGUUUGCCAUUAUAUGUUGUGUCCCACAGUAAAAAAGAAAAUCGCAGUGAUUAAUGAGUAUGACAUGGCUAAGCUUCUGAUAGUCAGUGAAUGCUUCAGAUGUGACAGCUGGUGCUUGAAUGAGUAAAUGGCUGCCUGUUUAUGAUCAUUUGUCUACAGAGACAUGUCUUAUAUUGUAUUGUACAGGUGUUAAUAGAUACAAUACAAUACUUAUAUAGGUGUCUCUGAUUCAGGUAUGAUCUUAGAAGGGGAACUGUAGGUUUUUGGUGUGUCAUGUUUGUCUGUUGCCCUUACCAUGGUGGAGUCAGUAGAGAUUUAGAGAGUGCCUGGCUGAAGAUUUCAAGUUUUUUAUACAAAACAGAAAAUCAACUGACCACAUAAUCGAUAUAAUAUACAGCAAUGGGUUGUGCCAUUUGCACACAGUUGAUAGAUAUGUGGAGUGUGUCUGGGUCACAAAGAGCCCAGACAUCAAUGGACAUGUCCAAUUUACAGCAGGACUACUACAGACUGUCAGGCCUCCACUAUACGUCCUCUUUCUCUGAUGCUGAGGACUGCUGCGAUGACAUCACAAGCUCCUCCUCCUCAGACUGUCUCGGAAUAGACUGUUAAUGUUUGGUUUGGUUUUAGAAUGUUGCAGGUUACUGACAAAUAUUGCCAUUGUUCUCUUUGGCUCCAAAUUGUGUAAAAGGACGAGAUUUAUUUUGUUUCUGCUCAAUAUGGGCGACAGCCCACAUUGCCAGGGAAUAAAGACAUGCAUAUAAUAAUAUAGCAGUGGAAACUGGACCUUAAUCAUUUAACUGUAUAAUGAUGAUGAAAAUGAUCAAUACCAUUCAGUUAGAAGUAUAAAUGUACAUUCUACACACACACACGCAUACACAUGUACGUAUUGUUUCUCUUGGGAGGAACAAGCCCAUUCCCAAUGGAAGUUUUGAUAAAAUUAUGAUGUGUUCUGAUAUUGAGUACUCUGGUAUGACUAAAUACCUCCUGAAAGAAAUAAAACUGCAAAUACAUGAUUCUUCAGUUAUUUUUCCUAUGGCAUCCUGCAAGAAAAUGUUUUUAAAGAGCUGAUGAAAUAGUAUUGCUUCAGCCGUUGUGGAGUCUAGUCUCAUGAGACCACAUGAGUUUAAUAGUAAUUAAUUCACAUGUUAAGCCAUUAAUAAUGUAAUUAACAACUGGAGCACAUCAAGACGUGUGUUGCUGAAGUUAUUUGAUUUCAGCACUGAAAUGAAAGCAUUUCAGAUAAACAAAUUAAUCAGUUUGCAGUUUUAAUGUUUUUGCAUUCUAUUUGCCAAAGACCACUUCUGUGACAAAGAACACUGCUUGACUCAGAGGAUUUUAAGGUUGUUUUAAGAUCACCACCAUAAUGAUCACCGUUCACAUAUUUUGCAAGGGAUAGUUACUGUUAUACAGAACAUCCACUUACAGAAUUACUGUAAUCCACACAAAUAAAUGCAUAAUUUGAAACUAAAUGACUGUGAUUUGUUACGCUGUAUGCGGAAAGGUAAGGUAAC